This 1705-nucleotide long non-coding RNA is filed under the name Rattus norvegicus (Norway rat). RNAcentral's name for it is "long non-coding RNA NONRATT005653". The record is from RNAcentral. Lineage: Eukaryota; Metazoa; Chordata; Mammalia; Rodentia; Muridae.
CCUGAGGACAAUGGGAGGAAAAUGCUUCACUCUCCAAAAAAUGUUACAGUCAUGAAAGAGAAAGUGAGGAACAUAUUUUAAAGGAAAGAGGUCUAAAGAGACAUGACAGCUAAAUAGCCUGGAUUGGAUCCUGGAUUCUAAAACGUUUUAAGGGCCUUAUUUGGAUGGCUGGCAAGGUUUGAAAAAAGUCUGUACGUAAGCUUAGAUAAUGGUUUAUGGUACUGUUACGACAGUUGUCUACAUGGUGUCUUUUCUAGGACACACUGAAGUUCUUGAGGGUGUCCAGGUCUUCAACAUACUCUCUAACAGUUCAAAUAAAAGAGGCUGUGUGCUGUGUAGACACACAUGUUUAUGUAGAGGCAUCUGGGCUAUGGAGGUCCUUGCUCUUUCCCGUAGAGAAAGCAUGUCUCUGAGCUGGGGCUGGGCUCUGGCCUGGCCAUUCAUUUCUAGUCAGCUCUAAUAUCAGCCAUCUCAAGGGUGGUGGCCAUUUUGUCUGUUUUGAUGCUCUUGCAGGGCUUGGGGGUCUUAAUAUCUGGGAGAGCCAUGCCCCUCACUUUUUCUUCUCCAGAAGUAUCUUUGCUCCUAUGGACUUCUGGGUCUCCACACAAUUUCUGAGCUGAUUGCCUAGGUUUUCAUGAAUACUGAACAGCUCUGUGUUUGGCUGCCCACGCCUUCAGCUGUGUCCUUUGUCUUCCAGCUUUUCAGAUGAGCUGGUAGAUGAAGCGCUGGGGGCCGUGGCUGCAGAACUGCAGGAUGUGUGUGAAGACUAUGCAGAAGCUGUGUUCACUUCAGAGUUCUUAGAGGCCGCUGCGUGAGAGCUGUCCAGGCAGGGCCCUCAGAUCACUGCCAGAGGAACAGCACCACCCGCUGUCAGCCCAUGGGGGAAUCUUGGUCCUUGGCUGCCCACUGAGGGGAAUACCACGGAGGUCACCCUCUCCUUGUCUUAGUAGUGCUUCUGGGAGCUAUAGAAAGGUGGGCUGCAUUUAUUAGUGCCUGAGGAGCAUGAGACAGAAUGGUACAACAUUUUCAAAAUGUAUAAUUUUCCUACUGAAAUGCUGUGUUCAUUCCUCUGACUCAGUUGGAGAUGAAAAUGUUUUGAAAGGUAAUGGACAGACUUCACACCAGGGUUCUAGCCUCUGUUAAACCCAUGGGGGCAGAGGGAUCAGUGCUAACCCAAGUGCAGUUACUAUCUGGUCCCAGCACCUGGCUCCUGUUAGUAAGUGUGCUCCUCACAUUGUCACUGGUGGUGUCUCCACUAGGUGACAAGCUACGUGGAAUGCAGAGUGGUGGUGCCACCCAGCCUCUGCUCAGCAGCAGUGGAAGUGGGGAGCCCAGCACACGGGCACACAGAACACACAGGCUCAAGCACACCUUUCUCGGUGCCUCACUUCCUAGGGAGUUUUACAUUCUCAGUUUCUCAGAGUCAUUUAUUGCUGUUUUGACACAUGCUAGUAUAAGAAGCAUUUCUCUGAAUGCAGAAGUUUGAAGACAGGAGAGGGCAGACCUUCCCCAUGCCAGCUCACUGUCCCAGAGGGCAGAGGCUUCUCUGCACCACAGAGCAUCCCAUCUGGAGGAGGGAGACAAGUAGAUGACUUGAAGACUUCUGGACUCUUCGGAGAACCAAAGAUGCCCAUGUGGGGGUUGGGGAUUUAGCUCAGUGGUAGAGCUAGCAAGCGCAAGGCCCUGGGUUCGGUCCCCAGCUCCG